This is a small nuclear RNA of Nycticebus coucang (slow loris), 164 nucleotides long. RefSeq annotates it as U1 spliceosomal RNA. The transcript has a single exon. The record is from RefSeq and is a predicted model, not a curated record. NCBI's taxonomy places the organism in Eukaryota, Metazoa, Chordata, Mammalia, Primates, Lorisidae.
AUAUUUAUCUGGCAGGGGAAUUAUCGUGAUCAUGAAGGUGGUUUUCCCAGCAUGAGACUUAUCCGAUGUACUCCGGAUGUACUGACCCAUGUGAUUUCCCCCAAUGUGAGAAACCUGAUUGUAUAAUUUGUGCUGGUGGGGGACUGCGUUUGCGUUUUCCUCUG